GAUGAAGAACGUAGCGAAAUGCGAUAAGUAAUGUGAAUUGCAGAAUUCAGUGAAUCAUCGAGUCUUUGAACGCACAUUGCGCCCCCUGGUAUUCCGGGGGGCAAGCCUGUCCGAGCGUCAUUGCUGCCCUCAAGCACGGCUUGUGUGUUGGGCCCCCGUCCCCGGUUUCCCCCGGGGACGGGCCCGAAAGGCAGCGGCGGCACCGCGUCCGGUCCUCGAGCGUAUGGGGCUUUGUCACCCGCUCUGUAGGCCCGGCCGGCGCCAGCCGACACCCAACUUUAUUUCUAAGGUUGACCUCGGAUCAGGUAGGGAUACCCGCUGAACUUAAGCAUAUCAAUAAGCGGAGGA
Molecule: unclassified non-coding RNA, 348 nt
Filed under: soil metagenome
Description: partial contains 5.8S ribosomal RNA, internal transcribed spacer 2, and large subunit ribosomal RNA
Rfam family: 5.8S ribosomal RNA (bases 1-120)
Source: RNAcentral